AUUCUUACCUGGCAGGGGAGAUACCAUGAUCACAAAGGUGGUUUUCCUAGGGCGAGGCUUAUCCAUUGCACUUCGGAUGUGCUGACCCCUGCGAUUUCCCCAAACGUGGGAAACUCGACUGCAUAAUUUGUGGUAGUGGGGGACUGCGUUCGCGCUCUCCCCUG
Molecule: small nuclear RNA, 164 nt
Filed under: Tupaia belangeri (northern tree shrew)
Lineage: Eukaryota; Metazoa; Chordata; Mammalia; Scandentia; Tupaiidae
Description: U1 spliceosomal RNA (ENSTBEG00000018616.1)
Rfam family: U1 spliceosomal RNA
About the family: U1 is a small nuclear RNA (snRNA) component of the spliceosome (involved in pre-mRNA splicing).
Source: RNAcentral